AGAGUCAAUUCCACCAAACCACACAACCGAAGAUUCAACUAGAGCGUUAAGUCGUCAGUCAGAAGCCUCAUCCUGUCUCGAACCACACGAGUCGAAACACCACGAGGCUCAGAGUGACCGCGCACGUAACGCUCUCCCUCUUUGCCAAGGAAGCUUGCUUGCCCCCGGCAGUCUGGCAGUGAAGAGCGCUUAAUGACUCGUGCGGGGAAACAUUGAGUGUCUGGCUCACGUGGACUGUCGUCUGGCCAAGCUUUUAUGGCAGAGUACGAUGGACUGAACCACGCUGAGUGCUUAAUGUGACCCUCCAGCCAGCGCCUCCACUACAUCACCGGCGACUGUCCUUCCACUCCUGCAGGGACCACCACGACCGCCAUCACUGGCCAUCGCUGGAGAAAGCAACAACAUGAAAAACAACCAGCAGCAAGAGCAACAGCAACAACAACAACAGCAACAACAACAACAACAGCAACAACAACAACAGCAUCAACAACAACAGCAACAACAACAACAACAACAACAACAACAACAACAACUACUACUACUACUACUACUACUACUACUACUACUACUACUACUACUACUACUACUACUACUACUACUACUACUACUACUACCACUACUACUACUACCACCACCAAGAAUAUACACCCAAAGGUCUCAUCUAUGACAUUUCUCACCCCCUGAAAGAAGAAAAAAAAUAGCUUCCUGUACAAACAUCUUCAAGUUUUGUGGCCAUGAAGGGAGACUUAUAUACGUCUAUUAUUUCCUGUCCUUUUUAGGGGAGAGUAGCAAUAUGGGGAGAUGGAAGAGGAGGAGGGGGAGGAAGGUGCAAUGGUCGGUCAGGUCAGAGGCAGGUCAGGUCACAAUGGUUUAAAGGCGACGACGUAUUUUGAAGGUGGUGGUGGUGGUGGUGGUGGUGGUGAUGGAGGGAUGUGGAAAAAGGAAGUAGGAAGGAGUGAUGGUGGGUGGAUGUGGGAUGGGGUAAAUGGAGUGGAAAAAAAGAAAACAAAUAAAAAGAAAAGUUGUUGCUAUAUUGUGUGAGGGAAGAAAGGAGCCGUCUGGAAACUGUUUCCUUCCUUUCUUUGAAUCACGUCUUUCCUUUCUCCUUUCUUUCCCUUUUUUUUCCUCUUCCCUCUCUCUGCCUCGCCGUACCUCCCGCCGGGCCUGGCAAUCUAAAAGGGAGAAUUAUAAGAAUAUGGUACUUUUCUCUCCGUUAUUAUUCGUUAUGUUCCCUCCCUUCAUCUUGAUUUGCCUCCCCCUCGCCUCCCCUCGCCUGGCCUCGCCUCCCUCCACGGCCCAAGAAGAAGAGAAUUAGUAAAAUGUACACCUUAUGUU
Scylla paramamosain (green mud crab) is the source of this 1335-nucleotide long non-coding RNA. RefSeq lists it as uncharacterized. The record is from RefSeq and is a predicted model, not a curated record. The transcript is spliced from 3 exons. Lineage: Eukaryota; Metazoa; Arthropoda; Malacostraca; Decapoda; Portunidae.